Collybiopsis luxurians FD-317 M1 is the source of this 104-nucleotide non-coding RNA. The record is from the annotation of a GenBank genome assembly. Lineage: Eukaryota; Fungi; Basidiomycota; Agaricomycetes; Agaricales; Omphalotaceae.
GGGCACUUGGCACAGUUGGUAGCGCGCACGCUUCGCAUCAAACCAGGUUGUCUGCAUCGGAUAUGCAUUGCGUGAGGUCAGGAGUUCGACUCUCCUAGUGUCCA